CAAUUAAAUAUCGUUAAUAUUCGUAUAUCGUCGAUGAUAAGGAUCGAAAGUCUCUACCCUAAAACCGUAAAUUUUAGGACUACGAAUGUGGAUAUGGAACCU
This 102-nucleotide non-coding RNA is filed under the name Haloplasma contractile. RNAcentral's name for it is "Guanine sequence". It matches the Rfam family "Purine riboswitch aptamer". Rfam says of the family: Riboswitches are metabolite binding domains within certain messenger RNAs that serve as precision sensors for their corresponding targets. The record is from RNAcentral. RNAcentral also lists the same sequence under 1 other name. Lineage: Bacteria; Bacillati; Mycoplasmatota; Mollicutes; Haloplasmatales; Haloplasmataceae.